AGAGUUUGAUCCUGGCUCAGGAUGAACGCUGGCGGCGUGCUUAACACAUGCAAGUCGAACGAGCCUUCGGGCUAGUGGCGGACGGGUGAGUAACGCGUGGGAAUCUGCCCUCAGGAGGGGGAUAACGGCCGGAAACGGCCGCUAAUACCCCAUAUGCCGAGAGGUGAAAUGAAUUUCGCCUGAGGAUGAGCCCGCGUCUGAUUAGCUAGUUGGUGUGGUAAUGGCGCACCAAGGCUUCGAUCAGUAGCUGGUCUGAGAGGAUGAUCAGCCACACUGGGACUGAGACACGGCCCAGACUCCUACGGGAGGCAGCAGUGGGGAAUUUUCCGCAAUGGGCGCAAGCCUGACGGAGCAACGCCGCGUGAGGGACGAAGGCCUCUGGGCUGUAAACCUCUUUUCUCAAGGAAGAAGACAUGACGGUACUUGAGGAAUAAGCCACGGCUAAUUCCGUGCCAGCAGCCGCGGUAAUACGGGAGUGGCAAGCGUUAUCCGGAAUUAUUGGGCGUAAAGCGUCCGCAGGCGGCCCAGCAAGUCUGUUGUUAAAAAGUGGAG
RNAcentral lists this ribosomal RNA (552 nucleotides) under uncultured freshwater bacterium. Its description in RNAcentral is "bacterial SSU rRNA". It matches the Rfam family "Bacterial small subunit ribosomal RNA", at positions 8 to 607 of the family's 1533-position model. The record is from RNAcentral.